AAACUUUGUUUUAGCAUGAAUAGGAACGGAAUUUAUAGAAAAAAUAGUUUGGAAACUAUACUAUCAUCUUUGGAAAAAUCCUCAGAGACUAUACGCCAAACUCCUGCAAGGGAGAUGAUAUAGUCCGAUCUCUAUGGCGACAUAGAG
RNAcentral lists this non-coding RNA (147 nucleotides) under Candidatus Amesbacteria bacterium GW2011_GWA2_42_12. The record is from RNAcentral. Lineage: Bacteria; Candidatus Amesiibacteriota.